Molecule: ribosomal RNA, 491 nt
Filed under: uncultured bacterium
Lineage: Bacteria
Description: partial 16S ribosomal RNA
Rfam family: Bacterial small subunit ribosomal RNA
Source: RNAcentral
AGUGAACGCUGGCGGUAGGCCUAACACAUGCAAGUCGAACGGCAGCACAGUAAGAGCUUGCUCUUACGGGUGGCGAGUGGCGGACGGGUGAGGAAUACAUCGGAAUCUACUUUUUCGUGGGGGAUAACGUAGGGAAACUUACGCUAAUACCGCAUACGACCUACGGGUGAAAGCAGGGGAUCUUCGGACCUUGCGCGAUUGAAUGAGCCGAUGUCGGAUUAGCUAGUUGGCGGGGUAAAGGCCCACCAAGGCGACGAUCCGUAGCUGGUCUGAGAGGAUGACAACCCCACUGGGACAGGAGAAAGGGCCCAGCCCCCCACGGGAGGCAGCAGGGGGGAAAUUUGGAAAAUGGGGGCAAGCCUGACCCAGCCAUACCGGGGGGGUGAAGAAGGCCUUCGGGUUGUAAAGCCUUUUUGUUGGGAAAAAAAAGCAGCAGGUUAAAACCCCGCUGUUCUGCGGGUACCAAAAAAAUAAGCACCGGCAACUUUCGU